Molecule: long non-coding RNA, 336 nt
Organism: Herpailurus yagouaroundi (jaguarundi)
Lineage: Eukaryota; Metazoa; Chordata; Mammalia; Carnivora; Felidae
Exons: 3
Source: RefSeq, a predicted model, not a curated record
UCAUAAACUUCACAAUCUUUUGCUUAGGUGUUGCCUUCGUGGGAGCCUUAGCAGCAGCCAUUGCUAUCUUUUCAGAUGCUUGCUUAGCAUUUUUUGCUUCCUUGGCAGCCCUGAUGGCUUGUUCUUGUUGAGCCUUCCUAAUUUCAGUUUUCUGAUUCCUCUUGGCCAUUAUAUCAGCAAGAGAUACACCAGUGAUGGCCCUCUGGAAUUUAACUGCAUGGUGGGCUCUUUUCUUUUGAAUUUAUUCCAACUGUCCCUUUUUGUGCUUUCUUCUGUAGAGGACAGUCCAGUUUAUCUGCUGAAAAUUCCUCGGCAAAGCACAACUCUGAACUCCCA